Molecule: long non-coding RNA, 1028 nt
Filed under: Sinocyclocheilus grahami
Lineage: Eukaryota; Metazoa; Chordata; Actinopteri; Cypriniformes; Cyprinidae
Description: lncRNA (ENSSGRG00000009103.1)
Source: RNAcentral
GGGCUUCUAAACAUUAGAUCACUCUCACCCAAAGCAGUUAUUGUAAAUGAAAUUAUCACAGAUAAUAGUUUUGAUGUACUCUUGCUUGACUGAAACCUGGCUAAACCAAAUGAUUAUAUUGGUCUAAAUGAGUCUACUCUACCAAGCUACUGUUAUAAGCAUGAGCCCCGUCAGACUGGUCAUGGUGGCAGUGUUGCAACAAUAUAUAGUGAUAUUCUCAAUGUUACUCAGAAGACAGGAUACAGGUUUAACUCAUUCGAAAUACUUAUGCUUAAUGUUACACUGUCAGAUAUGCAAAAGAGAUGUAUCGUAUCUCUUGCUACUGUGUAUAGACCACCAGGGCCGUAUACAGAUUUCCUUAAAGAAUUUGCAGAUUUCCUCUCAGACCUAUUGGUUACUGUUGAUAAAGCGCUAAUUGUCGGAGAUUUUAAUAUUCACGUUGAUAAUACAAAUGAUGCAUUAGGACUUGCGUUUACUGACCUAAUAAACUCUUUUGGAGUCAAGCAAAAUGUUACCGGGCCCACUCAUCGUUUUAAUCAUACGCUAGAUUUAAUUAUAUCGCAUGGAAUUGAUCUUACUGAUAUAGAUAUCGUACCUCAAAGCGAUGAUGUUACUGACCAUUUCCUUGUAUCGUGCAUGCUGCGUAUUACUGAUAUUAACUAUAUGGCUCCGUGUUAUCGUCCGGGCAGAACUAUUGUUCCAGGCACCAAAGACAGAUUCACAAAUAACCUGCCUGAUUUAUCUCAACUGCUCUGUGUACCAAUAAGUACACAUGAACUAGAUGAAAUAACUAGCAACAUGGGCACUAUCUUCUCUAAUACAUUAGAAGCUGUUGCCCCCAUCAAAUUGAAAAAGGUUAGAGAAAAACGUACUGCGCCAUGGUACAACAGUAAUACCCAUUCUCUCAAGAAAAAAACUCGUAGUCUUGAGCGCAAAUGGAGAAAAACUAACUUGGAAGUUUUUAGAAUUGCGUGGAAAAACAGUAUGUCCAGCUAUAGACAGGCUCUAAAAGCUGCCAGGGGCAAGCA